UAACGAUGAAGAGUUUGAUCCUGGCUCAGGAUGAACGCUAGCGGCAGGCCUAACACAUGCAAGUCGAGGGGUAACAUUGGAGC
This 83-nucleotide ribosomal RNA is filed under the name Algibacter lectus. RNAcentral describes it as "16S rRNA. Bacterial SSU". It matches the Rfam family "Bacterial small subunit ribosomal RNA", at positions 1 to 81 of the family's 1533-position model. The record is from RNAcentral. Lineage: Bacteria; Pseudomonadati; Bacteroidota; Flavobacteriia; Flavobacteriales; Flavobacteriaceae.